RNAcentral lists this ribosomal RNA (210 nucleotides) under uncultured bacterium. Its description in RNAcentral is "partial 16S ribosomal RNA". It matches the Rfam family "Bacterial small subunit ribosomal RNA", at positions 334 to 558 of the family's 1533-position model. The record is from RNAcentral.
UACUCCUACGGGAGGCAGCAGUGGGGAAUAUUGGGCAAUGGGCGAAAGCCUGACCCAGCAACGCCGCGUGAAGGAAGAAGGUUUUCGGAUUGUAAACUUCUUUUAUCAGGGACGAAGAAAGUGACGGUACCUGAUGAAUAAGCCACGGCUAACUACGUGCCAGCAGCCGCGGUAAUACGUAGGUGGCAAGCGUUAUCCGGAUUUACUGGG